GCUGAGCAGAGCAGUGAGAAAAUAAAGAACACAUGGGAAGAGAGUUUCACACUUUCCUAGACUGUUUUCUGAGGAGUUUUAAAUUGCCCAGACAGGAUACACCAGAUAUACCACAGCGUGAUCAGUACUCUGAAGAGAUAGGACUAACGCAC
RNAcentral lists this long non-coding RNA (152 nucleotides) under Chinchilla lanigera (long-tailed chinchilla). RNAcentral's name for it is "lncRNA (ENSCLAG00000022303.1)". The record is from RNAcentral. Lineage: Eukaryota; Metazoa; Chordata; Mammalia; Rodentia; Chinchillidae.